Conger conger (European conger) is the source of this 1787-nucleotide long non-coding RNA. RefSeq lists it as uncharacterized. NCBI's taxonomy places the organism in Eukaryota, Metazoa, Chordata, Actinopteri, Anguilliformes, Congridae. The transcript has 3 exons. The record is from RefSeq and is a predicted model, not a curated record.
UUCACAAGGCCACUUCAGUUCACUCGCUUUUGCUCUUUUGAAAUCAAAAGAGCAGAAUCCGUAUGACCCAGGGCCCUGUUGUUAAAGGAAUCGUUUCCCACAGAAAGCCAAUCGGUUCCCACUGUUGAGGGAGAAUGUACUGCAUUUCGGAUAAGAACCUUCGCCUACAAGGGCUGGAGAACCUGUCACGAACUGUAAUUUGUGCAAAACAACUGACCCCCAGGCUAGGACCAUAGUUGUCAAGAUGUCAGCCACUGAAGUUUCAGAGUAAUGCGUGAACCAAAGGCAAUAGGACAAUAAAGCAGUGGUAUAGCACACUUAGCCUGCAUUUGGCAACCACCAACUGUUCCAGGAGGCCGGCCAAGAAAGUACAGAAAUCAUUAGACUACAGUAUUUGAAGGGAGGGGAGAAGGGGAAAAUCGGUAAUUCGCAGUCGAGGCUGUGAUGUAAGGCGGAGUGCACACAGAGGGUGAUCUCACAGCGAUCUCUGGCACCGAAGACGCAGCGCUAUCCAGAGAAAGACGGGAAGGAAGCCGGAACACAUCUGGGAAGCGAUUCAAAUGAAAUGAUUAGCAUGUCUAAAUAUGCAUGAAUCCCCUCCUUUUAAUUAAUAUCGUGCGGAGCAGAUGAUGCAUAAGCAUGAUGGUGCUAUUAGCUAGUUCCUUAGCGAUGUGUAUUUUUAGAGCCAUAUUUUUAUUUGUAUUGUAUUUUUAAUUUUCUGUAUGACAUGACCUGUGAUCGUCAUCCGAUGAACAGUUCAGGGUGAGAACGGUAAUUGCAAUAUUUAUUUCAGAAGCAUUAAUGAAAGGUAUGUAAAUAUUGUUGUUGUUGUUGUUGUUGUUGUUGUUAAAAAUAAGACACUGCAUCUCUGAGUAAUAAAGUGUUCCUAGGGAGUGGUGACUAACUAACUGCCCUGAGUUUCCAUAUAGCCUAACCUAAGAGUUGUAGUCUAUAAUGAGUGAUGUCUGUAAAAUAAGGAAGUUAUAACUUCCUUCUGACUUAUAACCAAAAAAUGUCUGAAAAGAAAAAAAGAAGCUUUGUUAAACCUCAGUCUAAUGUAUCACAGUGCAGCAAAAAGAUGUCAAAAUUAAACUGGCUUCCCUUUAACUAUUUAUUACGUCAGGCGCUUUCAAAACUAACUUUUUAAAAGUUUUGUUUUCACUGCUUUAGUACUGGCAAGAGUGAUUAUCCAAUGCGGAGCCAACAUUCUCCCCUCUGGAUAAGAAAGACACACAGAAGGAAGUAGCUACUGUAUCUUACAUCACAGAGCAGGCAUUUAGCAGAUGCUCUUAUCCAGAGCAACUGACAUGGCUUACAUUCUUUGUGCAUACAAUCUAUUUACACAGCUGGAUACUUAUUGAAGCAAUUCACUUUAAGUACCCGUUUCCCAAAAAACAGGGAAGGUGCCUAAUCAGAAGUCUAGUUUAGUGACUCAAAAGACAAAUACUUACUGUAUGCUUACUCUAACGAUGCUGUUUCACACAGCUCUAAAGUUAUUGAAGCAUAAAAGUUGCUUUAAGUACUACGCAGAGCCACUUGGCAAGUGCACACCACUACUAAGCAUAAAUAGUCAUGAACUGGUUAUCAGUGCCUGUGCACACAGGGUGGCCACAGAGAGCGCUUAAGCAUGUUCGUUCAUCAUGUUCAGUGUACAGGCAAUGUGCAGAUCCACCAUCUUAUCUGAUUGGGCAAGCGGGUGACAAGCGCUUCUUAUUGGACUUGAAAAAAUGUGCAGUAAAAAGUUUUAAGCCCAGUUUAAACUACACAUUUUAUUUUGGUAAAUCCUA